RNAcentral lists this ribosomal RNA (553 nucleotides) under uncultured bacterium. Its description in RNAcentral is "bacterial SSU rRNA". It matches the Rfam family "Bacterial small subunit ribosomal RNA", at positions 777 to 1330 of the family's 1533-position model. The record is from RNAcentral.
AAUAGAUACCCCGGUAGUCCACGCCGUAAACGAUGAGUGCUAAGUGUUGGGGGGUUUCCGCCCCUCAGUGCUGCAGCUAACGCAUUAAGCACUCCGCCUGGGGAGUACGGUCGCAAGACUGAAACUCAAAGGAAUUGACGGGGGCCCGCACAAGCGGUGGAGCAUGUGGUUUAAUUCGAAGCAACGCGAAGAACCUUACCAGGUCUUGACAUCCCGGUGACCACUAUGGAGACAUAGUUUCCCCUUCGGGGGCAACGGUGACAGGUGGUGCAUGGUUGUCGUCAGCUCGUGUCGUGAGAUGUUGGGUUAAGUCCCGCAACGAGCGCAACCCUUAUUCUUAGUUGCCAUCAUUUAGUUGGGCACUCUAAGGAGACUGCCGGUGAUAAACCGGAGAAGGUGGGGAUGACGUCAAAUCAUCAUGCCCCUUAUGACCUGGGCUACACACGUGCUACAAUGGACGGUACAAACGGUUGCCAACCGCGAGGGGGAGCUAAUCCGAUAAAACCGUUCUCAGUUCGGAUUGUAGGCUACAACUCGCCUACAUGAAGCCGGU